AAUGGAGUGGCUGAGAUUAAGCGAAAGAUUGUAAAUCUUUUUACGAAUAAUUUUUAUUCCUUCAUUA
This 67-nucleotide transfer RNA is filed under the name Labidura japonica. RNAcentral's name for it is "tRNA-Tyr". Lineage: Eukaryota; Metazoa; Arthropoda; Insecta; Dermaptera; Labiduridae. The record is from RNAcentral.